This 253-nucleotide ribosomal RNA is filed under the name uncultured bacterium. Its description in RNAcentral is "partial 16S ribosomal RNA". It matches the Rfam family "Bacterial small subunit ribosomal RNA", at positions 524 to 776 of the family's 1533-position model. The record is from RNAcentral.
UACGAAGGGGGCAAGCGUUGUUCGGAAUUACUGGGCGUAAAGGGCGCGUAGGCGGCUUAUCAAGUCAGGCGUGAAAUUCCCGGGCUCAACCUGGGGGCUGCGCUUGAUACUGGAUGGCUUGGAUCCGGAAGAGGGAUGCGGAAUUCCAGGUGUAGCGGUGAAAUGCGUAGAUAUCUGGAGGAACACCGAUGGCGAAGGCAGCCUCCUGGGCCAACACUGACGCUCAUGCACGAAAGCGUGGGGAGCAAACAGG